GAGGGUGUAGCUCAGUGGUAGAGUGCCUGCUUAGCAUGCGCAAGGUCCUGGGUUCAAUCCUCAGUACCUCCA
This 72-nucleotide transfer RNA is filed under the name Camelus bactrianus (Bactrian camel). It matches the Rfam family "tRNA". From Rfam's summary of the family: Transfer RNA (tRNA) molecules are approximately 80 nucleotides in length. Their secondary structure includes four short double-helical elements and three loops (D, anti-codon, and T loops). Lineage: Eukaryota; Metazoa; Chordata; Mammalia; Artiodactyla; Camelidae. RNAcentral also lists the same sequence under 2 other names. The record is from Rfam by way of RNAcentral.